Molecule: ribosomal RNA, 444 nt
Filed under: uncultured bacterium
Lineage: Bacteria
Description: partial 16S ribosomal RNA
Rfam family: Bacterial small subunit ribosomal RNA
Source: RNAcentral
GUAGGGAAUAUUGGGCAAUGGUCGGAAGACUGACCCAGCCAUGCCGCGUGCAGGAAGACGGCCCUCUGGGUUGUAAACUGCUUUUAUCUGGGAAGAAAAAGGCCAUGCAUGGCAAAUUGCCGGUACCAGAUGAAUAAGCACCGGCUAACUCCGUGCCAGCAGCCGCGGUAAUACGGAGGGUGCGAGCGUUGUCCGGAUUUAUUGGGUUUAAAGGGUGCGUAGGCGGCUGAUUAAGGCAGCGGUGAAAGACUUCGGCUUAACCGGAGCAGUGCCUUUGAUACUGGGUGGCUUGAGUGUCGGAGGGGUACAUGGAAUUGAUGGUGUAGCGGUGAAAUGCAUAGAUACCAUCAGGAACACCGAUAGCGAAGGCAUUGUACUGGCCGACAACUGACGCUGAUGCACGAAAGUGUGGGGAUCGAACAGGAUUAGAUACCCUGGUAGUCC